Molecule: ribosomal RNA, 465 nt
Filed under: Vreelandella stevensii
Lineage: Bacteria; Pseudomonadati; Pseudomonadota; Gammaproteobacteria; Oceanospirillales; Halomonadaceae
Description: partial 16S ribosomal RNA
Rfam family: Bacterial small subunit ribosomal RNA
Source: RNAcentral
CCUACGGGAGGCUGCAGUGGGGAAUAUUGGACAAUGGGGGGAACCCUGAUCCAGCCAUGCCGCGUGUGUGAAGAAGGCCCUCGGGUUGUAAAGCACUUUCAGUGAGGAAGAACGCCUGGUGGUUAAUACCCAUCAGGAAAGACAUCACUCACAGAAGAAGCACCGGCUAACUCCGUGCCAGCAGCCGCGGUAAUACGGAGGGUGCGAGCGUUAAUCGGAAUUACUGGGCGUAAAGCGCGCGUAGGUGGCUUGAUAAGCCGGUUGUGAAAGCCCCGGGCUCAACCUGGGAACGGCAUCCGGAACUGUCAAGCUAGAGUGCAGGAGAGGAAGGUGGAAUUCCCGGUGUAGCGGUGAAAUGCGUAGAGAUCGGGAGGAAUACCAGUGGCGAAGGCGGCCUUCUGGACUGACACUGACACUGAGGUGCGAAAGCGUGGGUAGCAAACAGGAUUAGAUACCCCAGUAGUC